RNAcentral lists this ribosomal RNA (699 nucleotides) under uncultured bacterium. Its description in RNAcentral is "bacterial SSU rRNA". It matches the Rfam family "Bacterial small subunit ribosomal RNA", at positions 71 to 788 of the family's 1533-position model. The record is from RNAcentral.
GGUCAAAGGUUAUAGUAUCUUAGUGGCGGACGGGUGAGUAACGCGUGGGCAACCUGCCGUAUACAGGGGGAUAACAACUGGAAACAGUUGCUAAAACCGCAUAAGCGCACACUGUUGCAUGACAGAGUGUGAAAAUUUCCGGAGGUAUACGAUGGACCCGCGUCUGAUUAGCCAGUUGGCAGGGUAACGGCCUACCAAAGCGACGAUCAGUAGCCGGCCUGAGAGGGUGGACGGCCACAUUGGGACUGAGACACGGCCCAAACUCCUACGGGAGGCAGCAGUGGGGGAUAUUGCACAAUGGGGGAAACCCUGAUGCAGCGACGCCGCGUGAGUGAAGAAGCAUUUCGGUGUGUAAAGCUCUAUCAGCAGGGAAGAAGAAAUGACGGUACCUGACUAAGAAGCCCCGGCUAACUACGUGCCAGCAGCCGCGGUAAUACGUAGGGGGCAAGCGUUAUCCGGAUUUACUGGGUGUAAAGGGAGCGUAGACGGCAAUGCAAGUCCGAUGUGAAAACCCAGGGCUCAACCGUGGGAGUGCAUUGGAAACUGAAUGGCUGGAGUGCAGGAGAGGUAAGCGGAAUUCCUGGUGUAGCGGUGAAAUGCGUAGAUAUCAGGAGGAACACCAGUGGCGAAGGCGGCUUACUGGACUGUAACUGACGUUGAGGCUCGAAAGCGUGGGGAGCAAACAGGAUUAGAUACCCU